GACGAACGCUAGCGGCGUGCCUAAGGUAUGCAAGUCGAACGAGAGCUAUCCUUCGGGGUAGCCUAAGUGGCGAACGGUCGAGUAACACGUAGACAACCUGCCCGAGAGUGGGGGAUAACAGCCCGAAAGGGCUGCUAAUACCGCAUGUGGCCGGGGGAGGCCUCUCUCCUGUGCUAAAGGCGCAAGCCGCUCUGGGAUGGGUCUGCGGCCUAUCAGCUAGUUGGUGGGGUAACGGCCCACCAAGGCGACGACGGGUAGCGGGUCUGAGAGGAUGAUCCGCCGGACAGGGACUGAGACACGGCCCCGACUCCUUCGGGAGGCAGCAAUGAGGAAUAUUGCGCAAUGGGGGAAACCCUGACGCAGCGACGCCGCGUGGGUGAGGAAGUUCUUCGGAAUGUAAAGCCCUUUUCUCGGGGACGAGACACGACGGUACCCGAGGAAUAAGCCCCGGCUAACUACGUGCCAGCAGCCGCGGUAAUACGUAGGGGGCGAGCGUUGUCCGGAUUUACUGGGCGUAAAGAGCGCGUAGGAC
RNAcentral lists this ribosomal RNA (532 nucleotides) under uncultured bacterium. RNAcentral describes it as "bacterial SSU rRNA". It matches the Rfam family "Bacterial small subunit ribosomal RNA", at positions 28 to 577 of the family's 1533-position model. The record is from RNAcentral.